RNAcentral lists this ribosomal RNA (382 nucleotides) under uncultured bacterium. RNAcentral describes it as "bacterial SSU rRNA". It matches the Rfam family "Bacterial small subunit ribosomal RNA", at positions 30 to 412 of the family's 1533-position model. The record is from RNAcentral.
AUUGAACGCUGGCGGCAUGCCUUACACAUGCAAGUCGAACGGCAGCACGGGAGCUUGCUCCUGGUGGCGAGUGGCGAACGGGUGAGUAAUACAUCGGAACGUACCCUGAAGUGGGGGAUAACGUAGCGAAAGUUACGCUAAUACCGCAUAUUCUGUGAGCAGGAAAGAGGGGGAUCGCAAGACCUCUUGCUUUAGGAGCGGCCGAUGUCGGAUUAGCUAGUUGGUGAGGUAAAGGCUCACCAAGGCGACGAUCCGUAGCGGGUCUGAGAGGAUGAUCCGCCACACUGGGACUGAGACACGGCCCAGACUCCUACGGGAGGCAGCAGUGGGAUUUUGGACAAUGGGCGCAAGCCUGAUCCAGCCAUGCCGCGUGAGUGAAGAA